AUGGACCCGGGCCGCCCAUCAGCAGGGCACCACGCAGGCACGGCCGGUUCCGGUCGAGAUCGGUCUCGCUCGCUCUCAUGUCACGGACGCGUGCGUGAGGGGGACGAAUGGUCCUGCGACACAGCGACCCCGGGCGAGACGAGACGAGACAAGAUGCGUCCGGUCCAAAGUCUGCAAUCAAACAAACGCACACGCACACAUCCAUCGGUCACCAGUUCCCAAACGCACCCGGCACCGGCCGUGCAUCGUGGACCGGGCGAGCGCUGCGUGCCAACGGCCGUACGUGUCGCUGUACCGGCCGGGCCGGCGCAUGUGAAGACGCAGUCCGUCCGUCCGAGCGUGCACGUGAACGGGGCGCCAUGUCCAUGUGCCGCCGUCCGCCCGUCCGUACCCGAGGUUGGGGGUUGGACGGCACGGAGGAGAGCGACGGUGCAUGCACGCGCGCGCGCCGAUACGGAUGCAUGCAUGAUCUCGCGCGCGCGGGCGGCAUGGGAGGGGGGUAGAGACGCCACACGGGGCACGCCGGAGCGCGCGCGCGCGCGCGCACGGCCCGCGGCGCCUCCGAUUAUAUGCGUCCCUGCGUGUGUGCGCGCGCAGCUGGCGUGCUGGUCGGCUGUACCAGGCCCCAUGCAAAGUGCGUGCACCGACGGCGGGGAUUGCCCGCGGGCUCGCGCGGCGUGUGACCAACCAACCGGCCGGCGGGUGGCGUCGGUGGCUGCUGCUACACUCGGGGAGCAGGGCGUCAGUCUGUACAGUGCAUUCGUGCAGAUGCAGGCAGGAAGUCCCUCUCUGCUCCUGCUUCAGCAAGCAAAUGUGGUGGCACCGAUCGAGUGUACGUUGGCGCCCACGAACGCCUGCUUCCUCGUCGUCUUCUCCGUCUCAUGCCAUGCACGAUGCGUGUCGACAUCGGAUGGCAAGACCACCGCGGAGGCCGCUAGCCUCUCUGAGAGUUUUGGAGGGCUGGUUCUGACGGACAAGGAGAGGCAAGGGUUUAUCUUCUCAGAUCCAGGGCUCCAAGCGAAGACGGUGAAGUGGUCGGCGGUGGGGAAGGUGUUCUCACCGAGACCUCUCAAGAAGCAUGGUAUGGAAAGAGCAAUGCCACGGGCAUGGGGACUUCACAAGGAGGCAAAAUUCAAGGAUAUUGGCAACAACAUAUUUGAGGUGAGAUUUGGCUGUGAAGGGGACUGGCAACAUGCAUUGAACAAUGGUCCAUGGCAGUUUGAUUUCCAUGUGCUUGUGUUGAAGGAAUAUGUGGGGGAUGUCUGCCCUUCGGAGAUGGUUUUUGAUACAAUGGAGAUGUGGGUGAGAGUCCUGGAUCUGCCACUUGACAUGAGGACGGAAUCCUUUGAUAAGUCUUUGCGUGAUUGGUUGGGAGUAGUCAAAGUGGAUGUCGAGAAAGAUGGUUUUGCUAAAGGGAAGUAUCUUCGAGUGCGGGCCAAUAUUUCAAUGUUUGAGCCUUUGAUCCGCAGAGCUCGUCUAAGGACCUCACUGGUGGACUUGGAGGAGACGUGGUAUGAUUUUACGUAUGAAAAGAUCCCGCACUUUUGCUUCGAUUGUGGAAGGCUUGUACAUGGUAAUCGUGUGUGCGAGCCACCGGUGGACAAGUCCAGUCAAUGGGGCCUCUGGCUUAGGGCCUCCCCGGGGAGAGGCUCUUCAUCUCUGAAGGAUAAAUCACAUAUGGGGGCGUCCAGCUCAUUCAGUGGUGGUGGCUCACACUCGGAGGAUAGGGAGAAAUCCCAGUUUAGUCAUGCAUCUGUAUGA
This 1761-nucleotide ribosomal RNA is filed under the name Triticum aestivum (bread wheat). RNAcentral's name for it is "partial small subunit ribosomal RNA". Lineage: Eukaryota; Viridiplantae; Streptophyta; Magnoliopsida; Poales; Poaceae. The record is from RNAcentral.